GAUGAACGCUGGCGGCGUGCUUAACACAUGCAAGUCGAGCGAGAAGUUUUGAAAAGAUUCUUCGGAUGAAAUUUAAAAUGGAAAGCGGCGGACGGGUGAGUAACGCGUAGGCAACCUGCCCCAUACAAAGGGAUAGCAUUUGGAGACGAAUAUUAAUACCUUAUGAAACUUAACUAGUGCAUGCUAGGUAGGUCAAAGAUUUAUCGGUAUGGGAUGGGCCUGCGUCUGAUUAGCUAGUUGGUGAGGUAACGGCUCACCAAGGCGACGAUCAGUAGCCGACCUGAGAGGGUGAACGGCCACAUUGGAACUGAGACACGGUCCAAACUCCUACGGGAGGCAGCAGUGGGGAAUAUUGCACAAUGGGGGAAACCCUGAUGCAGCAACGCCGCGUGAACGAUGAAGGCCUUUGGGUCGUAAAGUUCUGUUCUAGGUGAUGAAAACUGACAGUAACCUAGGAGAAAGCCCCGGCUAACUCCGUG
Molecule: ribosomal RNA, 479 nt
Filed under: uncultured bacterium
Lineage: Bacteria
Description: partial 16S ribosomal RNA
Rfam family: Bacterial small subunit ribosomal RNA
Source: RNAcentral